GAACUGAUCCAAAGUUGGACGCAUAACCAAGAGUUGGCAAACACAUUGGCCAAAUUUGGUCCCUGCCUGAUUCUCCGCAGUCCACAAGUGUUUAAACCUGUAACAUUUGUGCGCAGUGGCGGCAUUUCAGCUUCUGGAAUUUCUG
Hyaena hyaena (striped hyena) is the source of this 145-nucleotide long non-coding RNA. RefSeq lists it as uncharacterized. The transcript has 3 exons. Lineage: Eukaryota; Metazoa; Chordata; Mammalia; Carnivora; Hyaenidae. The record is from RefSeq and is a predicted model, not a curated record.